RNAcentral lists this ribosomal RNA (466 nucleotides) under Segatella oris. RNAcentral's name for it is "bacterial SSU rRNA". It matches the Rfam family "Bacterial small subunit ribosomal RNA", at positions 28 to 482 of the family's 1533-position model. Lineage: Bacteria; Pseudomonadati; Bacteroidota; Bacteroidia; Bacteroidales; Prevotellaceae. The record is from RNAcentral.
GAUGAACGCUGGCUACAGGCUUAACACAUGCAAGUCGAGGGGAAACGACGGGGAAGCUUGCUUCCCCGGGCGUCGACCGGCGCACGGGUGAGUAACGCGUAUCCAACCUGCCUCUGACUGAGGGAUAACCCGUCGAAAGUCGGCCUAAUACCUCAUGGUAUCGUCUGCGGGCAUCCAACGACGAUUAAAGAUUUCAUCGGUCAGGGAUGGGGAUGCGUCUGAUUAGCUUGUUGGCGGGGUAACGGCCCACCAAGGCUACGAUCAGUAGGGGUUCUGAGAGGGAGGUCCCCCACAUUGGAACUGAGACACGGUCCAAACUCCUACGGGAGGCAGCAGUGAGGAAUAUUGGUCAAUGGGCGAGAGCCUGAACCAGCCAAGUAGCGUGCAGGAAGACGGCCCUAUGGGUUGUAAACUGCUUUUAUGCGGGGAUAAAGUGAGGGACGUGUCCCUCAUUGCAGGUACCGCA